Molecule: ribosomal RNA, 504 nt
Filed under: Triticum aestivum (bread wheat)
Lineage: Eukaryota; Viridiplantae; Streptophyta; Magnoliopsida; Poales; Poaceae
Description: partial small subunit ribosomal RNA
Source: RNAcentral
AGUUUCAUUUCAAUGUUUGGUUGGAGAGACCAAAUGUACUGAAUUUGAUUCAACUCACCUUUUGACAUCGGAAUGAUAAGAUUACCUGUCACAUAUAUCUUUUGUGGAUGACAUGCAUAGCACAGCACAGGACGGUCCAGCACACAAAUAAAUCAACCUUUUCACCGGCCGGCAACUACUUGUGAUUGGAUGGAUCUUGAAUCUUGAUACGCCUGCUUACUGCUGAAGAACUCGCACCAACGUGGGCGGAAGAGCAGAUGCGACCCGGUUCAUCUAAGGCUGGUGGUGCCGCGCGUCCUUGCCGUCGCAAGGCCAGACUUCCGCAGUCGCUCGUGGCACCAGCCGCCAUCAUCGCUCGCCUCCCUGGCUGCCGCCGCCCCUUUCCUGCUCUGUCUACCACGACAUUGAAGAGGGAGAGACGGAGGAGAGGCGAUGUCGUUCGUGAGGGAGAGACAAGGGGACAGAUCGAGAUGGACUGACGGCGCAGAUGGGAAGGGGUCGCGG